Molecule: ribosomal RNA, 494 nt
Filed under: uncultured bacterium
Lineage: Bacteria
Description: partial 16S ribosomal RNA
Rfam family: Bacterial small subunit ribosomal RNA
Source: RNAcentral
GACGAACGCUGGCGGCGCGCUUAACACAUGCAAGUCGAACGGAAAGGCCUGCUUUCCCUUGUGGAUUGCGGGUACUCGAGUGGCGAACGGGUGAGUAACACGUGAGUGAUCUGCCCCCAACUUGGGUAUAAGCCUGGGAAACUGGGUCUAAUUCCCGAUAGGACUGCAGGGUGGUGCCUGUGGUGGAAAACGAUUUUCUAGUGGUUGGGGAUGAGCUCGCGGCCUAUCAGCUUGUUGGUGGGGUAAUGGCCUACCAAGGCGGCGACGGGUAGCCGGCCUGGGAGGGGGGACGGCCACAUUGGGACUGAGAUACGGCCCAGACGCCUACGGGAGGCAGCAGUGGGGAAUAUUGCACCAUGGGCGGAAGCCUGAUGCAGCGACGCCGCGUGGGGGAUGACGGCCUUCGGGUUGUAAACUCCUUUCGACCGCGAGGAAGCCACCUGGUUGGAAGGGUGGUGACGGUAGUGGUAGAAGAAGCACCGGCUAACUACGUG